Molecule: long non-coding RNA, 2114 nt
Organism: Crotalus tigris (Tiger rattlesnake)
Lineage: Eukaryota; Metazoa; Chordata; Lepidosauria; Squamata; Viperidae
Exons: 4
Source: RefSeq, a predicted model, not a curated record
AUGAGAGAGAAAAAGGAAUCACUCUUGGAGAGGAUGUUAGAUUUUUGCAAAAAAAAUAACAGAAACCUUAAUAGGGAAUUAGAAACAGACCAUCACCCUAUGUGAAUGCAAAUUCUCUAUCCUGAAAAAUCUAUUGUGAUACAAGAUCUACAGCCUUGGUAAUUGUGUCUUCCAUUAUGAAAACAGCUCAAGUGCGUAAGACAGGGAUAUCAGAUCCCACAGCCUUUCUUAGUUAGCCUGGUGCCUUCAGAAUUAUUAAUACUCUUAAUUCUAAAUCAACAGGACUUGGCAAUUGGGAAUUUAUGGAGCUGAAACUCAUAAAUGUGGAGACUCAUCUAGCUAGCAUUUGUAAAAGAAAAUAAAGUAAUUGAGUAACAGUAUCACUGAAGAAUAGAUUGCUGUUUUUGUUUUUCUAUGAAGCCUAGGUACCUUUGAAUAACAACAUAGAAUAAAAGGUUGUAUCUUUCCCACCCAUUGCUUCAUUCUAGCCAUUAUAUUUCGGCAUAUCACGAACUCCAGAAAGGCAGGGGGAUAAAAAAAAACCCUCUAAGAACAUAGCAUAGCGAAUUCAAAUGGAAUGGCUGGGUUUCCGAGAAUUCCUACCAUUGCUUUAGACAAAAUUCACAUGGUUGGGAAACAUGCCCUUUUUUUUCUUAUGGUUAAUUGUUAUCCCUCUUAACUAUUAUAAUCUCAUGACCAUUUGCAUUAUUAUUAUAAUAAAGCUAGAAUGAAUUAAAAAUUAAAAAUAAGCUAACAAAACCAUCAACCAUUAAAAUGCGUUAAAAUGCUGUUUUAAGGCCUUUAUAAAUAUUUGAAAUAAUGUCAGUUUUCUAUAUUUAAUAGGGAAUGUAUCUCUUAGAAAAGGACUGUUAUUUUCCCUCAAAGGCACUGACUGACUUUUUAAUUAAUUACAGAUAGAAGAAAAGUGGGGACAAAGAAACUGCCUUGAUCUCCUAUAGAAAUGAUGCAUCCAGCAAGCAUGCGAACACACUGCUGAUUAUUAAAGUGGAAUUGUUGAACUAUAACUAAGAAAGAGAGUGGUCACUGGCAUAACCUCUUGGAAUCUUGAAGAAAAUGAGAAAUACUCCAGCAUGUAAAUAAACACAAAUGGAAGUAAGACCCUUAAUGUAUGUAGGUCUUUGGAUUGUGUCACAUAUUUACAGCAUCUCAGUAAUGUUUUUGUGACUGCACAAUGGCUUUCCCGCUACUGAUCACUAAGCUGCAUGUCUGUGCAUCUUUCUUACACUGCAAUGGCAGCAACAUUUUGUCAUGCUUUGCUCUGCUGCACGUAUGAAGGUUAGCGAAGGAUAGCUGCUCAUCUCUUCAGUGGAAAAAGUCUUUGUCAGCUCUUUCUCUUCUAGUGGAUAGCCAGCAUCUUCAUGCCCUGUCACCACCACCUUCUACAAAUUCCUGAUGCCCGGAGCUGGUACAUUCAAGAAUCAAGCCAAUGUCAUCAUUAUAACAUUUAAGAAACCGAAGUUGGAUGUCUGCCAAUCAUAGCAAUGUCCAUGUUUGUACUUAAAGUGAUGCCCAAUUGUGAUUAAUUAAUUAAGCUGGAUUUACAAGACUUCAAGGUUUGUCUCCGAUUUGUAAAAUUCCCAGGGAAUGUUAAUGUUCCCAAUUUGAAUAGAGUAAAUUUGAUAACAGACUGAAUAAAGAUUCCUGCAGCUAGCCAUUCAUGUUCUUGAACCUUGAUAACCCCCCCCAAAAGGUUAGUCUUUAGUCAUCCCAGUAUUCAUUAACAUUUAAAACUGAUUUUCAUUGCUUAAUUGACAUAAUUUCUUUAUAUGCAUUUUUUCCAACCUUAAACACUCAGAUUCCCUAAAAGUCAAACUCUUGUGAAGUUUCCCAGGUUACUGUAUUUUGCCCUAAACCUUUUUUCUCUAUUCUUUCAAUGCCCCAUUAACAAAAGCACAUGAUGGGUGGUACAUCAAGGUCAGGGGUGUGUUCGAAAAGUGACAUCAACAAAAGGAGACAAUAAAAGGGCUCCUUAGCUACUGAGAAGUUCUAUUUAAAGUUACAUUUAAGGAGUCUUCUUAGACCAAUUAAGCAGUCUUCAAAUCAACUUCUGCUUGCUGAGACUUAUCUAAAGGAAGAACCAACUUAAAAGCUAU